Molecule: long non-coding RNA, 209 nt
Filed under: Elaeis guineensis (African oil palm)
Lineage: Eukaryota; Viridiplantae; Streptophyta; Magnoliopsida; Arecales; Arecaceae
Description: long non-coding RNA (EGUI_LNC017768)
Source: RNAcentral
CGAGAAACCUAUGAGAAAUGCUAGUCGGUCCAUGGUAGACCACGAGAAACCAAUGAAAAAUGGGCGCUCGGUCCAUGCACCCGCCCAUGCACCGCUCGGUCUACUAUGGAUCGGGAUAUCCGCACGUCUGCUCCCGUACGCACUCAUGUGGGCCUGGGCUACGCAUCGCACGUGCCCGUGCAUCUGCGGCCGGCAGCGCCACCACUGCC